Molecule: long non-coding RNA, 10531 nt
Filed under: Vitis vinifera (wine grape)
Lineage: Eukaryota; Viridiplantae; Streptophyta; Magnoliopsida; Vitales; Vitaceae
Description: long non-coding RNA (VVIN_LNC003102)
Source: RNAcentral
AUGUGCGGUCUCAAAGGCUGUCAAGUCAUCCCCUCUCAACCAGUCUCCAAAGAAAUGCCAAGGAGUUACCAAUACUGGAUGAAGCAUGGUCAAAACGAGGGGUGAUAAGUUGGAAGUUGGGUUGUCUUUGAGGAGGAGCCUAGAAGAAGGUGUGAGAAUAUAGCCUUCUUCUUCCUCAUGUUCAUGAACUUUUGCCAUAGCAAAGAAGCCAGAAUGCACCAGCAAACGCAUGAGCCGGUGCACACAACUGGCUUUUGUGGGGGGGAUAUGAAGCGCGGAGACCAACUGGGGAAGAGUCGUGGGGUGGGCAUGGUUGUGGAUUAUGUCAGGAAUGCCUAGCUGAACUGCACAUCUAAGUGCCAUGGAAUUCAUGAAGCUACAGAUAUGUUUAUACAUAUGAGAUUGAGCUUGAAACAACUCACCUGCUCCCUCUCCAUGAAUAAGAUCCAUGGAUAAUGCACUUAACCUUCCUCCUCUAAUCAUAAAACACUCCUGGCCUGUGUUUUUUAUAUACGGGAUGAUUGAUUGAUGACGAACAAUCAAUCAUUGGAAAUAGCUGGACUGAUGGAAGAGUGAACUUUUUUUCCAAUACUGUAUGGUCAUAUAUAAUUAUAUUUGUGUAAAUAUUAUUUAAGAGUACCAAUUGAUAGAUAGGUAAAUAAAUUGAUUGGACAUCUAAGAGUCUUAUGUAUGAAAGACUCAAAUAUAAAUGGGGAAUUAGAAAAUUUAAUUUAUAUGAAUGUGGUGUUACAACUUUUGUAACUCCAUCAUUAUGAAAUUUAAUUUGUACAUUAUGUUUACGAGUAAUUGAGAAAAAUGGAAAAAUAUAAACUAUAUCAUUAUAUAGAUGCAUUCACAUUCAUAACCCACCAUUACUCAUUAAUUUGUACAUAAUGGUUGUAAAUAACAAGUAUAACUCUCAUAUAGUCUUUGAUGAAAAGACUAAGAAAUGUACAACUUUUAUAAGUUAAGGUCCCAAGCCACACUCUCAUACUUAUGUCCUUUUGUUAUUUUAUUUUUUAACAAUAGACACCACACAAGUGUCUUAUCUACCAUAUGAAAGUAGUGAGUUAAAAACCUUGACAAUACAAUUGACAAGGUAACUCAAUCUCACUUCAAAAGUGUUAUUGGUAUCAUGGAUCAAGAAUAUGAUCAUUAUUUUAGUACUUAUAUUUAUUUUGUUUUAUGCAUCCAAAAUUAUUUUUUAAAAUAAUUAUUUUCACAUAAAUAUAUUUAAAACUUAAUACUUAUUACUUAAUAACUUAAAUUGGUUUUAAGUUAAAUUAUACUUAACUUAUUAACUUAAAAUUUAUUGUAAAUCAUCAAAUUAAUAUAUAUAUAUAUAUAUAUAUAUAUAUAUAUAUAUAUAUAGACACACAAAGGAGAUCGAAUAAUAAUAAAAGUUGUGGGGUAGUAUAAGAGAUUGUGAAAAUAAUUAGGAUAAAUGAGGAUAUAUAUAUAUAUAUACUCAUAAAUUAUAGUUAAAGCAAAAGAGGUCGAAUAAUAAUAAAAGUUGUGAGUUAGUAAAAGAGAUUGUGAAAAUAAUUAGGACAAAUGAGAAUAUAUAGAUAAAAUGAAAAUAUAAAUUUAAAAAUAAAUUAAUUAGUUUAUUACUUAAAGUUAUUUUUAACUUUAAAUCAUCGGGAAUUUUCCUUUUUUUUAUUCAUUUUUAUUUUUAUUUUUAGCUUCUUUAUCAACCCGAGGACGAGCCGGUGGUGGCAGCAAAAAAAAAAAAAAAACAGGACGGCUUGAGAGAAAAACAACUAAUGGAUGGGUUGUUUUUGCGGUAGAUGGGACGGGAAGAAGGGGGAACGACAGGAGAUGUGAUGUUUGGGCAAACAGAAAAGAAAUAUUGCUUGAGAGAGGUAGGCAGUGAGCUAGGGAAGUAGGGAGAAAAAGAAAAAAAAAACACAGUUGUAGAGAGAGGGGAGAGGUUCUGAAAAAAAAAAAAAAUUGAUUCUCUUCAUUUUUUUGUUUUUUCUCCAACAGAUCUUCCACAUUGCUCACUCUCACCGUUUGCUUUUUUUUUUUCUUUUUUUUUUUUUCAUUUUUCUUGGGGUGUUUUACCCGUCAAGCCUGGAUUUUCCCGAAAAUGAGCGCUGAGAACUUGGUUGUCUUUCUUUGAAGCUGUGGAACUCCGAUCAGCUAUUGGUUUCUGAUUAUCCGCGUUCUCUUUGCGGGCAGCUAAUCGCCUGCUGUCAGCCCCUUAGCCACUUGAUUCAGACCCAGAGAAAUAGGCCUCAUGGGUAGGCCUUGCACUCAUGAGAGCCUAGGCGGAAAGCAAGGAAAGCCUAGAGGUUUGGUGGUUCAAACCCCAAGAGCUAAGUGUGGGCGGAAAUGGAUUCGGCGAAUCACGAGUAUUUGACGAGCCAAGCUAUCCGGGGAAUCUGAAUCGUUGGCCACGUAUGUUCUUUUGAUAAGCGUUACCCAAAGGAUCCGGAUGUGAGAUAUCCGGAGAAGGUGGAACGUCGGUCGGACAAAAUUCCGGAUGUGAGAUAUCCGGGUGGAAUGAGUGAGAAUUUUCGUCCUGGUGUAAUGGCGCAAUGCCAUGGCUCGUUGAAGCUGAACCUGACGAGUGGGAGCAACAGGCCCAGGCCAUGGGCACCUCAACAUGGCUUGGGCUCACGCAUCAGUGUGGGAGAGGCACACUGAUGCAACCUGGUCAGCUAGUGGUGCAUGCUGCUUGGUUCCAAGAGCCUUGAUCAGAGACGCGUUGGUGGGCACCCGGUCAUAAGAGGCAUCUUGAGGAGAAUGAGGCAGCUUGUUAGGGGAGGGCUCUCCGGCAACUUAAUGAGGCAGGCUCGAGGAGAUGGCAGCUAGUCAGAGCACUAGCUGGGACAGCUAGUGAUCAAGUCAGUCAGCUACCUAGACUGGUAGUGGGCUGAGGCACUGUUGAUGCAAGUGGGUGGUUUCUCAGCAGACCACCAUCUGGGUAGUGGGUGGUUGUGCAAGCGGUUCAGAGCGGUUUUGGGCGGUUGCAUAAUCACUAGGGGAAAAAACUGCAGGGUGAGUCUUUUAAAAGGGCUCCUGCAACCUUGAGAUGAGAGAGAGAGAGAAAGAGGAAUGUAGUCUCUAAAUGCUUGGGAUGUAAGCAUUGCUCUCUGACUCGGGGAAGCAAUUUUGUAUUUUGUAGUUGAGAUUAAUACAAGUUGGGAAGGAUUUCCUGUAACCUCGUUGUGUCCCUGUUUCCUUUGGUUUGCUAUUGUUUGUGUGCGUUUUGAGAAGGCUGAGAGAGAAGGUUGGCUAAGGAAGGGUCCUUAGCACCGCGCACCAGGUGAAAAUUUUAGGGUGAUUUUCGAGGGUAUGACACCUGCCAUAAGUUGAAUAUAAUUCAUCAAAGGAUUUUCUAACUAAAAAAAAUGGGGGAAGAGAGUGAGAGAAAGAGAGAAGGGUGUUUGUGUUUGUUUUCUGAGAAAAUUUCUCAAAACAAGGCAUCAUUUUCCGGAAAAGUUAUAGUGCAUAAGGAUCGUUAUUUAGGCGGCUACAUGCCCGAACCAGUGCGAUACCAUGCCUCCAUCAGAAAUGGUCUGUGUAUUAUUUCAAUUAUGUUGCUUUUAUUAUUUAUUUAUUUAUUUAUUUUGUAUUGAUUUGGUUCUAUUGUGUGCUACUGAUAACUUAGGCUUGUUGUUUGGGAGAUUUGAAAGUAUUGGCAAGACGUGGGCUUGAGGACAUUGUUCUUUUGUUCUUUGGUUGAAUGUGUUGGAUUUGAAGUUACAAAGAAGGGUCAGGGGUUUCUUGCUUUAAGCGUUUUUUUUUUUUGGUGGGGGAUUUGACCUGGGUGGAGAGAUUUGAGGCAUUUUCUGUUGUGGAUAUUGUUGUUUUCAGGGUCAGAACUGAAAACUGAGCUGGGGUUUGGGAACUAGGUUCAUUUCGGUGUUUGUCUGAGUGGUUUUCUUAGGCAUUUUUAUUAAGAUUUCACCGAGUCCUCAAGUAAUACAGUGUUAUUCCUUUGUUGUCAUGGCAUGGACGGUGCUCUUUCGGCCACCCUCGCCGACGGUGGUAAUUUGGCCACCAUCCAAUGCCACGUAUAGUAGCAUUAUCCCUUCAUCUUGCUUUUAUCCUUUGCUAAGGUUAAAAAUUUACUUACUUAUUUAUUUUAUUUACUCUUUUUUUUUUAUUCUCAAAUAACUCCUUAAAACCUCCUAAAUUUCCAAAGCUCAAAAUUUAUUUAUUUCUUUAAAAAUACCAUUUUCGAAAUAAUCUUCUAAAAUCUGAUUUUAAAUUUAGUUUACAACUCUUUAAUUCUCGAAAUUCAAUUUUCCAAAACUCUAACUUUUAAAUUUAAUUCUUCAAAAAUUCUAAUUCUUGGAAUAAUUUUCUAAAAUUCUAAUUUUAAAUUUAACCUUUCAAGGUUCAAAAUUUUAAAAUUUAAUUUUCCAAAAAUUCCACAAUUCCAAAUUUAAUUUUUAAAAGGUCACAUUCAAAUAAAUUUUCGAAACUUCAAUUCCUUUCAAAUCAAAUUUUCAAGAAUUUCAUUCUCAAAUAAUCCUUCAAAAUUCCCUUUCUUAAAUUUAAUUUUCAAAUUUCCGUUUUCAAAUAAUUUUUCGAAAUUCCGACUUUCAAAUUUUAAAUAAUUCUUCAAAAUUUUGAUUUCCAAAUUUAAUUUCCAAUUUCCAAAAUUCCAACUUUCACAUUUAUUUAUUUAAUUAUUAUUAUUUUUGUUAUUAUUUUAUUUAUUUAUUUUAAAGUUCCAUCUUUAAAUAAUUCUUCAAAAUUCUGAUUUUCAAAUUCCAAAAUUCCAAUUUUCACAUUUAUUUGUUUGAUCAUUAUUAUUUUUUUCAUUAUUAUUUUAUUUAUUUAUUUUUAAAAUUUUAUCUUUAAAUAAUUUUUCAAAAUUCUGACUUCCAAAUCCCAAAAUUUCAAUUUUCAUAUUUAUUUAUUUAAUCAUUAUUAUUUUUGUUAUUAUUAUUUUUAUUUAUUUUUAAAUUUUCCACCUUUAAAUAAUUCCUCAAAUUUUCGAUUUCCAAAUUUAAUUCCCAAUUUCCAAAAUUCCGAUUUUCCAAUUUCCGAAUUUAAUUUUCAAGUUCAAAAAUUCUAAUUUUUCACAUUUAUUUAUUUAAUCAUUAUUAUUUCAUUAUGAUUAUUAUUAUUUUUAUUUAUUUCUUUCUUUUUAAAAUUCCAUCUUUAAAUAAUUCUUCAAAAUUCCGAUUUUCAAAUUUAAUUUCCAAUUUCCAAAAUUCCGAAUUUUCAAUUUUCGAAUUUAAUUUCCAACUUAAAAAAUUCUAAUUUUCACAUUUAUUUAUUUAAUCAUUAUUAUUUUCAUUAUUAUGAAACCAAGAUUUGGUUAAUCUUGAUUUUGAUAAUAACAAAACAAGGUUUAUAACUAAUGAUCAUAUUUCAAGUGUGAUUAGGCAAGACGAUUUCCAAAGUGGCAAUCACAAAAACAAAUCAAGCUAAGGAGAAAUCAUGAAAAAGAAGACCACCUCAAAGAUAAGAGUUUUUCAAGACCUAAGCUUCAUAAGAUUUCUUUGUAAGGUUGUUGGUGCAUUAGGACUUUCAUACAUUUCAUUCUUUACUUAUGCACCAAAAUCAUUUAAGAGUAAUAUUGUUUUAAAUAUCUUAAGAAUUGAAUGAUUUCAUGUUUUCAACUAAAACUUUGUGUUAAAUAUUUUUCAAACUUGUUUUAAAAGGUUUUAAGUUGAAAAAGAUUGGGUGUUGAGCCAAAAAAUGGUUCAGCCGGUUCAAUCGGUUUAGGAACCGGUCGACCGGUUGUGCUCGUCCGGUCAAGUACCGGUCGAGGGAGGUCAAAAUUUUUUUCUCUCUCCUAGUGGCCUUCUCUUCUCGGUCGAGGUGAUUCUCUUCCUGAUCAAGGUCCGAUUGAGGCCAAUGGUUACCUGUCAAGCAUUUAAUGCUAACGACUAGCCAACCGGUCGAACCCCCAAACGGCUAGUUUGGUUUUUCUCUCCUAUAAAAAGACUUUAAUCUUCAUUGUUUAAAAAGCUUAACGUUCCCAAAUCUUACAUGAUUAUAUUUGAGCAUUGGAAGAGUAUUUUUUAGUGCACCAUUAUUUCAAAACUUGCAUAUCUUUAGUGCACCUUUCAAUCCUAGUUUUCUUGUAUCAAUUGAGUUUAAAGUUCUUGUACUAGGAUUUUUGUAAGAUCUUUUAUUUGUAAGUCCUUGAGAGGAAGUUGUUAAAGAGAGGGAUAUUUCUUGAGAAGUGUAAAGGGUGCUUGGAGCCAAAAGUCCAAGAGGGAGAAUUGGAACCAUAAUCCAAUUGUAUUGCUUGAAAGCUUGGUUUGGAAGCCUUGAAUUAGUGGAACCUCAAGCUCGGGAUUGAAGCUAGAGGAGAGCGGAUGUAGGUCGGGUUGCGCCGAACCACUAUAAACUCUUGUGUUUGCAUUCUCUCUUCCCUACUCUUUAAUUUAUAUGCAAUUGUCUAUAUAUUGCUUAUUAUAUACUUGCAUAUAAUUGUCUCUUACAUUCACUUGUUUAAAUUUGCGAAAAGAGACCAUCACCCUAUUCACCCCCCCUCUAGGGUGAUUACCAUAGGUUGGAUUAGCCUAAAAUUCCUAACAAUUAUGAUUAUUAUUAUUUUUAUUUAUUUAUUUAUUUAUUUAUUUAUUUUUAAAACUUCAUCUUUAAAUAAUUCUUCAAAAUUUCGAUUUCCAAAUUUAAUUCCUAAUUUCCGAAAUUCCUAUUUUCCAAUUUUCAAAUUUAAUUUCUAAUUUUCAAAAUUAUAAUCUUCACAUUUAUUUAUUUAAUCAUUAUUAUUUUAUUUAUGUAUUUAUUUUCAAAAUUUCAUCUUUAAAUAAUUCUUUAGAAUUCCGAUUUCCAAAUUUAAUUUUCAAUUUUAAAUUUUCAAUAUUCCAAUCUUCACAUUUAUUUAUUUAAUCAUUAUUACUUUCAUCAUUAUUAUUUACCUACUUAUUUUUAAAAUUCCAUCACUAAAUAAUUAUUUGAAAUUCCAAUUUCCAAAUUUAAUUUCCAAUCUUCAAAAUCCCAAUUUUCACAUUUAUUUAUUUAAUCAUUAUUAUUUUCGUUAUUAUUAUUAUUUUAUUUAUUUAAUUAUUUAUUUUUAAAAUUCUAUCUUUAAAUAAUUCUUUCAAAAUUCCAAUUCUUAAAUUUAAUUUUCAAAAUUCCAAUUCUUAAGUUUAAUUUCCAUAAUUCCAAUUUUUAAAUUUAAUUUCCAAAAUUCUAAUUCUUAAAUUUAAUUUUCAAAACUCUAAUUCUCAAAUAAUUUUCAAAAUUCUAAUUUCUUUCAAAUUUAAUUUUCGAAAUUCCAAUUCUUAAAUUUAAUUUUCAAAACUCAAAUUCUCAGAUAAUUUUAAAAAUUCCAAUUCUUUUCAAAUUUAAUUUCCAAAAUUCUAAUUUUUAAAUUUAAUUCCAAUUCCCAAGACUUCAAUUUUCAAAUAAUUUUCGAGACUCCAAUUUCCAAAUAAAUUUCUAAAAUCCAGUUUUCUCUCGAACAGUUUUAAUUCCACUCCGAUUUUCAAAUAAUCUUCUGUUUCUUUUGAUUUUUCAUAAGUAAAAAUGAAUUUUUCAUAAUUCCAAAAUAAUGAAAUUUGUGAGAUCAAUGUAUGCAAAAUAAAUUGGGCUUUGGUGGGGAUUGCUAUGCCUAAUGAAUAUUGUUUGAUUUUUGUUUUGACAUUUAACAUGCAUGCGAUAUAUUUUGUAUUUGUUAUUGCACACUAACUCUGUUUCAUGAUAGUGUUUUAUUACCUGUUACCAAGGUAUGCUCUCGCUCUCACUUUGUUCAUUUAUUCAUUAUCAAGAGUUGCUUCUGAUUUGUGAUCACUUUGGUAUCUAUUGAUUUCCUUACCAAUUGUCAUGUUUGCUUCAUCUAAUUAGUAGAGACCCGUUUUUAGGGAUUUAGAGGGGUGCUAUGGUCUUUCACCGUACCUUCUCAAUAGGUAACCUGACCCCCGAACCUAGACUCGGUUUUUCAUAGGCUUGUCUUUUCCAAACAAGGAGUUACACUUAAGGAUUUCUUUCUUAUUUUGUUUUCCCUUAAAAAAAUAAAACAAAAAUAAGUGGCGACUCCAAGUCUUUUUCUAAAAAUGAAAUUUUCACCAAACAAAUAAAAAAAAAUGAGUUUUGCCAUCGAGUAGGAACGCGUCGAGCGAAAUGCAGGGUCCACACAUACCAUUAAGUUAUUUUACCAAACAUAUUUAAUUUACUUAAUGACUUAAAUUAAAUAAUUAAGUCACUUUUAUUAUUAAGUUGGUUUGCUGAAUACCCACUUAAAGUUAUUUUUAAUUUUAAGUAUUAAAUCAAAAUAGUUAAUUUAUUCUUAAUUUCAAAUCCUUUUUGUUUCACUUGCCCACAUAAGAGAAAUUAUAUUUUAAAAUUAUAAUUCUACAUUCAUGACUCAUUUUUUAUUAUAAAUAUUUUAUAUAUUAUAAUCAUUUAAAUAUAAAUAAAUUUAUUACUUAAAAUUAAUGGAAAUAAAGAUGAGUUAAAAUCAAUGAUGGUAAAUUUUAGUUAAAAUUAAUAAGAGUAAAUGCUUAAUACUAUCUUAUAUUAUUUUAUGAUAGUUUUUUUUUUCUAGAAUAAGCAAUUUUUUUUUUGUUUCUAGAACAAUCAAUUUUUUCCAUUUUUACCCGGUAUUUUGAUUGGGAAAGAAAUAAGAAGCCAAGGAAGAAGAAGGAAGAAGAAAUGGGGAGGAGGAAGAAGACGAGAGAGCAGUGGAGAGUGGAGAGGCUUUGCCCUUUCCUCUUUUACCCAAGGACCCAUUUGGCAAUGAGCAUUUAUUAAAAAUUAAAUAAAAAUAAAAUUUUAGUUUAUUAGAAUAAAUUUAAGAAUUUCUAAAUAUUCUUUUUUUUUUAACAAAUAAAUAAUUAAAAAAAUUAAAAACUCACAUUCCAUGUUUUUGCCUUUUUUUUUCUUUUUAAAUAGGCAUGUGAGUUUUUCUUCUAUGAGUAAAGAAGAAUCAUGACUAUUAUGAGAAUGAUUUAAUGAAUUUUAAAUAAAAUUUUAAUUUUUAAAUAAUAUAUAAAUUAUUAUUUUAUUUUUAUAAUUAUUUUAAAUUUUAAUAAUUUAUAAAUUAUAUAUUUAUGACAUCAUUGGUUUGAUCGCGGGUCAACCGUCGAUCAGAUCAAUGAACCGUGAACUGAUAACUUUUUCGGUUCAAUAAUCGAUCCGAUUCUGAAAACAUUGCAUUUAAGUAUUUAAGUAAAUUAAAUUUUUUAAUAAAUAAAUAUUUAUCUGUGUCUGGCUAUCCGCUGCAAAAAGCAUUAUGAGGAGAGAAUGGCUCAAAUAUACUGUUAAAACCCAUUCCAAAAUGAACACAAUAGUAGAGCUCACCAUUCAGGGGUAGUCCUCAAGAAAUCCCAACUUCAUUUGGAAUACAAACAAAUGGUAUUAUCUAGUAGGAACUGUGAAAGACUAAUGGCAGGACAGAAGUCAUAGGGGGGCGUCAAACUCACAUCCAAGCUUGGGACACAUGAUUUAUUCCACACUAUCAUCAAGCUUGUAUUACAUGUACAAUUAACUCCGACUAAGGAAACACCUCAAUAAGGGACCUUAGACCAAAUAUGGGGGUUAUCUUAUAGUGCCUGAAACCAGCCUCCAAGAAGAGCCUUUCCCACUCUUUCUCAUUUCUUUCUCUUCCAUUUACCAGUGUCAUCAUCAUCAUGUCCAUCAGUAGCUUUGUUUCUGUUAUGUCAUCUUCAUCUUUCUUUUCAUUUAUCACUACGUCUAUGAUGAUAACCUUUCCUCCCUCUUCUUCGCUUCGAAUUGCUUCUCUGCAUUUCUUCAGUAUCUUCAGGCAAUCUUCAUCACUCCAAUCAUGCAGGACACACUGUCAAUCAUUCAUUUUUUUUUUUCCCACCAGAAAUCAGAAAGCAUAAUAAAGAACAAAAAAAACAUGUAGAAAUUUUAAAUGGCAAAUCUGAAAAGUAAAAGAAAUUAACAGGUCGAACAAUUUGAUCAAAGACAAAAACAAAUCAACACUUAAGGGGAGAAAUGAAUACCUUAAGUAGAAUGGCAUCGGCAGAAGGGACGGACUGAAACAUAUCACCUCCAACAUACUCCAAGUUCCUACUCUCUGGUAAGUUAGCAACAACGUGGGGAAGGUCAAAAACUGUGCAUUUCAAUUGAGGGAAGGCCUCCGAAAUGAUCCUGGCAAGAAGACCUGUCCCACCUCCCAGAUCUACCAAUGAACUCAACCCCUCAAAAACUGGCUUCAACUCUCUAAAAUUAACCACACUCAUCAUUUGAGAGUCACUGGCCAUUCCUUCAUUGAAAAGAUUGAAAAUUUCAGGGUUAUGGCUCCCAUGGUCCCAAAAGCUCACCCCAUGUGCGGUCUCAAAGGCUGUCAGGUCAUCCCCUCUCAACCAGUCUCCAAAGAAAUGCCAAGGAGUUACCAAUGCUGGAUGAAGCACGGUCAAAACGAAGGGUGAUAAGUUGGAAGUUGGGUUGUCUUUGAAGAGGAGCCUAGAAGAAGGUGUGAGAAUAUAGCCUUCUUCUUCCUCAUGUUCAUGAACUUUUGCUAUAGCAAAGAAGCCAGAAUGCACCAGCAAACGCAUGAGCCGGUGCACACAACUGGCUUUUGUGGGGGGGAUAUGAAGCGCGGAGACCAACUGGGGAAGAG